Long non-coding RNA from Catharus ustulatus (Swainson's thrush), 651 nucleotides. RefSeq lists it as uncharacterized. NCBI's taxonomy places the organism in Eukaryota, Metazoa, Chordata, Aves, Passeriformes, Turdidae. The transcript is spliced from 2 exons. The record is from RefSeq and is a predicted model, not a curated record.
AACCCACCAAAACAAACAAACAAAAAACCCCAAAACAAAAUAAAACAAAACAAAAGAUUAAUUCAGUUAUCAAGUACUAACAUGUCUCUUUCUUGACUUCCUCUGUUUCUGGCCACACUCUCUGUCUCCUUUUGUUAUUUUUGGUACUCCGUGUGUCAUUGUCACAGGUCUGCCAUUUUCUCAUUCUUUCAGAAGAUCUUUCCUCUACCUGGUGCCCUUCACAUUCACUUGAAUGUGGCAGGGCCAGUUCAGGACAGCUCUGUGCAAUUUUAACAUUUGCACCUUGAUUCUGGUGAGGACAAAACUAUAAAUUUGAAGGCACUGGUGGAAGGCAUCUACUGGAGGAAAAUGUUGAUGUUGGCAAGCCUCGUAGUGGAAGCAUGCAUGGCACGGGAACAAGGCUCUGGGAAGAGCUAUACGUGCCACAGGGUGUUUCCUUCUCCUCUGAGUGAAACUGCAAGUGAACAGUGAAUAACUACUGGGAAACCACCUAAUUACGUGCAAAUUGGGCUAAGAAACUGCACUUCCCAAAUGCUGCCCUCAUCAGAAUGGUAAAGCAUUGUGAUAGUUACUGACAAAAUACACGUAUGCAAUAUUGGAUAUUGUUCACUUCCCAAUAAAAAUUACUGGAGUAUGAUUGCCAUCUUUAAA